This 254-nucleotide ribosomal RNA is filed under the name uncultured bacterium. RNAcentral's name for it is "partial 16S ribosomal RNA". It matches the Rfam family "Bacterial small subunit ribosomal RNA", at positions 524 to 776 of the family's 1533-position model. The record is from RNAcentral.
UACGUAGGGCCCGAGCAUUAUCCGGAAUUAUUGGGCGUAAAGAAUGUGUAGGUGUUCCUACAAGUCGGUCGUUAAAUCCCACCGCCUAACGGUGGGGCCGCGAGCGAAACUGUAGGAAUUUGAGGUUUGCAGGGGCAAGCAGAAUUCUUGGAGUAGGGGUGAAAUCCGUUGAUACCAAGAGGAAUACCAAUGGCGAAGGCAGCUUGCUGGGCAAUACCUGACACUGAGACAUGAAAGCGUGGGGAGCAAACGGG